Molecule: long non-coding RNA, 383 nt
Organism: Peromyscus maniculatus bairdii (prairie deer mouse)
Lineage: Eukaryota; Metazoa; Chordata; Mammalia; Rodentia; Cricetidae
Source: RefSeq, a predicted model, not a curated record
UAUCCAACUUUGCCUCCUUUGAAAACUAUAGUCUUGGCAUGAGAGCUGGUUCCUAGUGAGUCUUGUGAUGACCAAUUGCACCCAGCCCAAGGGCAAAGUCAUCUUUAAAUUAAUGCGUAGGAGGAAAUACUGAAAUAUAGCUGCAAUUGUCUACCCCUGCCUCAUCUCUCCCUCCAAAAAAUGAGAAAAAACUCUUCUUCGGUUACAUGCAAAGCAUUUACAUCUGAGGACAUCAGCACUUUCUUCAACAAGAAAUGGAAUGACGAAGCUAAGGAUGAGAGCAGAAAUGACAGAUCGAUAGAGGUACACGUUCAAACUCAUACAAAAACUGUCAGGUCCCCCUCUCAAUUAAGAAUGAGGAAACUCUGAAAAACUACAAAGAG